GUUUUAAUCAGAAUUAUAUAUAUUAUUGAUAUAUAUAGUUUUCUUUUUUUUGGUCAUGUUCUUUAUUUUAUAUUUUAUUUAUAUCUAGGUAAUACCAGUUAGUAAUUCGUUAUUAUUUCAUCGGGUAUCGUUUGCUUUAUUGUAUUUAUGAAGCUUGAUGGGCUAAAUUCAAUUUUUUUAUGUUUUUGUUU
RNAcentral lists this small RNA (191 nucleotides) under Arabidopsis thaliana (thale cress). Its description in RNAcentral is "ATSL223610". Lineage: Eukaryota; Viridiplantae; Streptophyta; Magnoliopsida; Brassicales; Brassicaceae. The record is from RNAcentral.